This 282-nucleotide small RNA is filed under the name Pan troglodytes (chimpanzee). RNAcentral's name for it is "Metazoan signal recognition particle RNA (ENSPTRG00000041443.2)". The record is from RNAcentral. Lineage: Eukaryota; Metazoa; Chordata; Mammalia; Primates; Hominidae.
GCUGGGUGCAGUAGCUUACACCUGUAAUCCCAGCACUUUGGGAAGCCGAGGCAGAUGGAUUGCUUGAGGUCAGGAGUUCGAGACCAGCCUGGCCGACAUGGUGAAACCCCAUCUCUACUAAAAAUACAAAAAUUAGCUGGACUUGGUGGCGGGCGCCUGUAAUUCCAGCUACUCAGGAGGCUGAGGCAGGAGAAUCACUUGAACCUGGGAGGUGGAGGUUGCAGUGAGCCAAGAUGGCGCCACUGCACUCAAGCCUGGGCAACACAGUGAGACUCUGUCUCA